CCUACGGGGUGCAGCAGUCGAGAAUCAUUCACAAUGGGGGAAACCCUGAUGGUGCGACGCCGCGUGGGGGAAUGAAGGUCUUCGGAUUGUAAACCCCUGUCAUGUGGGAGCAAAUUAAAACGAUAGUACCCCCAGAGGAAGAGACGGCUAACUCUGUGCCAGCAGCCGCGGUAAUACAGAGGUCUCAAGCGUUGUUCGGAAUCACUGGGCGUAAAGCGUGCGUAGGCUGUUUCGUAAGUCGUGUGUGAAAGGCGCGGGCUCAACCCGCGGACGGCACAUGAUACUGCGAGACUAGAGUAAGGGAGGGGGAACUGGAAUUCUAGGUGUAGCAGUGAAAUGCGUAGAGAUCGAGAGGAACACUCGUGGCGAAGGCGGGUUCCUGGACAGUAACUGACGCUGAGGCACGAAGGCCAGGGGAGCGAAAGGGAUUAGAUACCCCGGUAGUC
Molecule: ribosomal RNA, 446 nt
Filed under: uncultured bacterium
Lineage: Bacteria
Description: partial 16S ribosomal RNA
Rfam family: Bacterial small subunit ribosomal RNA
Source: RNAcentral